Molecule: long non-coding RNA, 1670 nt
Filed under: Homo sapiens (human)
Lineage: Eukaryota; Metazoa; Chordata; Mammalia; Primates; Hominidae
Description: long non-coding RNA NONHSAT175679.1
Source: RNAcentral
AGAUGGCACGCAGUCUGCACAGACCAUGGAGUCCCUUGGCUCAGCCAAGGCCUGAGCAGCUCGGCCGUAACCCUGUGGUGGCUGAGCCCUGGUCACCCAGAGCUGGUGUCUCUGUGCCCAUCCAGAAGCCUCUUGCCCUCCUCAAUCCCAGCUCCAGACCUGGAUCAGACGCCUUACCUUCCUCUGGAAGGUCCCAUCCAGUGCAGCCACAAUUACGGUCUUCCCGGCGUUGGCCAUGGCCUCGCAGAACUCCACGAUGUCAGGGAACUGGAAAGGGCACGUGGAGAAAGAGUGUGAGAGCUUCCACCCCAGCAGCAGCUCCCUGGAGCCCCAGCGAAGACGCUGCCAGAUCUGACAACUCCGGCCAUUUGGCCCGGAGUAACUCUUAAUUCUCCCACGAGGCUCCCCAGGCCGGGGGACUGUGUCCACCCGCACGCCCCCCAGCAGACGACAGGUACAUCCACAACUGCGCAGCCCCUUCCCCCUGCAGCCAGCUUCCCUCCGAGUCCAGGUACCCAGGACUCAGCACCGGACUUCCACACCAGCUGUGCUGUUUAACACUGCAGUGGCCAAAGGCCUGCUGCCUUGGGCUCGGACACCACUCUUCGCUGGACCCAUUAUCUGUGUGACCUUGGCAAUGAAUUAACGUCUCUGAACCUGUUUCCUUUUCCUUAAGAGCAAGGAAGGUCCUGUUGUUUAAGGAUGGAAGGCCCUAAGUUAUAUACAUGCUCUUCGGUGAAUAGGUGUAACACCACCCUGUGCCGUGGACAUCGCAUCUUAGGAAUGAGGAAGCAAAUUUGGAAAAGUAAAUGACCUACAUCAGACAGCAUGGUCACGAAGUGCGGUUAAAUUCCCACAUGCAACUCCAAGCCCCAAGCACCCUCCACUCCACCAGCAUCUGGCUUCAGGAGCCCCUCAGCUCCCACCGAAGGCCACACGCCGGGUGGAUCUGUUCUCUGCACAGCCAUAGCAACUCUCGGAUACAGCUCCCAGCCAGGGCUCUGAGGCUGAAGCCCUAUAAUGUGUGGCACAGCAUGGCUUUGCCACUGGGUGCCCAGGUGGACAAGUCCAGAGGACCAAGCAAAGCGUCUCAGGCUCAGAAACAUCAGGCCCACAUCUGCUGCCAAGGAAGUGAAUUUAACUCCCAAACUGAGGUUGCAGGCGGAAAUGUCCAGCGAGCUCAAACAGCUACACAUAAAACAGGGAAGCGUGAAGGCUGCCAGGUGACGGGGGAGCCAGCCAACAACGGACAACUAAAAAAUUAAACAAAAAUCAACGUGCAGGCCAAACCAAACCAGUCUGCAGCCUGUGUGAAGCUGAAACCCUACGGCAGAGUUUCUGAACACUGGCAGGCUCCUGACAUUUGGGGCCAGCUCGUUCUUGCAUGGGGGCCGUCCUCUGCACCAUAGGACCCUUAGCAGCAGUGUCCCUGAUUUCUACACAUUAAAGCCCAAAAGCAUCCCCUCCCCCCUCCAGUUGCAACAACUAGAAAUGUCUUCAAACAUUGUCAAAUGGACCCUGGCGGCAAAAUCACCCUCAGUGGAGAACCACUGGCUCCAGCCCAGGGAGUGGAGAGUGUGCGCUACCUUGCCAAGCACCUUGGAAAGUGUGCUGAUUUGAAUCAUUCAAUGUUCAAAUGAUUAACCAUCCCCAUUAAAGAGAGUCCUAAC